CCUACGGGUGGCAGCAGUGGGGAAUAUUGCACAAUGGGGGAAACCCUGAUGCAGCGACGCCGCGUGAGCGAUGAAGUCUUUCGGUAUGUAAAGCUCUAUCAGCAGGGAAGAAAAUGACGGUACCUGACUAAGCCGCCCCGGGUAACUACGUGCCAGCAGCCGCGGUCAUACGUGGGGGGCAGGCGUUAUCCGGAUUUACUGGGGGUAAAGGGGGCGUAGACGGCUUGGCAAGGCCGAUGUGAAAGGGUGGGGCUCAACCCCAGGACUGCAGUUGGAACUGGCAGGCUAGAGUGUGGGAGAGGCAGGCGGAAUUCCUAGUGUAGCGGUGAAAUGCGUAGAUAUUAGGAGGAACACCAGUGGCGAAGGCGGCCUGCUGGACGAUGACUGACGUUGAGGCUCGAAAGCGUGGGGAGCGAACAGGAUUAGAUACCCUAGUAGUC
RNAcentral lists this ribosomal RNA (440 nucleotides) under uncultured bacterium. Its description in RNAcentral is "partial 16S ribosomal RNA". It matches the Rfam family "Bacterial small subunit ribosomal RNA", at positions 338 to 795 of the family's 1533-position model. The record is from RNAcentral.